UAGUCCACGCCGUAAACGAUCAUCACUCGCUGUUGGCGAUAUACUGUCAGCGGCCAAGCGAAAGUAUUAAGUGAUGCACCUGGGGAGUACGCCGGCAACGGUGAAACUCAAAGGAAUUGACGGGGGCCCGCACAAGCGGUGGAGCAUGUGGUUUAAUUCGAUGAUACGCGAGGAACCUUACCAGGGCUUAAAUGUAGUAUGACCGGUCUGGAAACAGACCUUCUCUUCGGAGCAGAUUACAAGGUGCUGCAUGGUUGUCGUCAGCUCGUGCCGUGAGGUGUUAGGUUAAGUCCUGCAACGAGCGCAACCCCUAUUCUUAGUUGCCAGCGGUUCGGCCGGGGACUCUAAGAAGACUGCCGGUGACAAACCGGAGGAAGGUAAGGAUGACGUCAAGUCAGCAUGCCCCUUAUGCUCUGGGCUACACACGUGCUACAAUGGCAGAUACAAACCGUUUGCAAAGCCGCGAGGUUGAGCUAAUCGGUAAAACACUGUCCCAGUCCGGAUUGG
RNAcentral lists this ribosomal RNA (507 nucleotides) under uncultured bacterium. Its description in RNAcentral is "bacterial SSU rRNA". It matches the Rfam family "Bacterial small subunit ribosomal RNA", at positions 791 to 1301 of the family's 1533-position model. The record is from RNAcentral.